Molecule: ribosomal RNA, 566 nt
Filed under: uncultured bacterium
Lineage: Bacteria
Description: partial 16S ribosomal RNA
Rfam family: Bacterial small subunit ribosomal RNA
Source: RNAcentral
UGGGGAAUAUUGCACAAUGGGCGAAAGCCUGAUGCAGCAACGCCGCGUGCGGGAUGACGGCCUUCGGGUUGUAAACCGCUUUCAGCAGGGACGAAGGUUUUCUGACGGUACCUGCAGAAGAAGCACCGGCUAACUACGUGCCAGCAGCCGCGGUGAUACGUAGGGUGCGAGCGUUGUCCGGAAUUAUUGGGCGUAAAGAGCUUGUAGGCGGUCCGUUGCGUCGGAAGUGAAAACUCAGGGCUUAACCCUGAGCCUGCUUUCGAUACGGGCGGACUUGAGGGAUGUAGGGGAGAACGGAAUUCCUGGUGGAGCGGUGAAUGCGCAGAUAUCAGGAGGAACACCAGUGGCGAAGGCGGUUCUCUGGACAUUUCCUGACGCUGAGAAGCGAAAGCGUGGGGAGCAAACAGGCUUAGAUACCCUGGUAGUCCACGCCGUAAACGGUGGGCACUAGGUGUGGGACCCAUUCCACGGGUUCCGUGCCGUAGCUAACGCAUUAAGUGCCCCGCCUGGGGUAGUACGGCCGCAAGGCUAAAACUCAAAUGAAUUGACGGGGUCAUGAGCUGUUU